Corvus moneduloides (New Caledonian crow) is the source of this 1789-nucleotide long non-coding RNA. Lineage: Eukaryota; Metazoa; Chordata; Aves; Passeriformes; Corvidae. The record is from Ensembl.
UUGGCUUCUGGGCUCUGAGGCGGCAGCACGGGAUUGAACUGCUUGAGUGGUUCUGGCAAUGGAGCCUUUCAUGGCUUCACAACAUUGCAUUAUGUUCCACACAGGCUGAAAACAUGGAAAACCUCACUGAAAGCCUCACAGAGGUGCUGAAGGAUGAAGACAGGGAGGUGGUGUGGAUGACCCUCUCUGUGCUCAGUGAUGUCCUCCUGAACAGAGAUGUGCCAAUUGCCAGUUCCCUCGCUCUGCAGUUGGUUGAGGCAUUCUGGCCACUCUUUGACAAUGUAAGGCUCUGUGCCCCCCACCACAGAUACUGAGUGCUGCCAAGAAACUGCUCCCAUGUGGAUUUUCAGUUCCACACCCAAGUGGGCCUGGAGCAGUCAGUGCUGAAGUUCUUGCUCUCUUCCUUUGCACUAGGAUGACAGCCAUGUGCAGGUGCUCUCCAUUCGCCUCUUUCAAGCGGUGAUGGAGUUGGUAGAGGAAGAAGGAAAAAGGCCCCUGAAGGACUGCAUGCGGCAGAGCCUGCUCCCACUCUUCUACCACAUGUAUGAUGAGAACCAGUUUGUGGCAGAGGCCUCUUGGGAAGCCCUGCUUCAAGCAACAAUAUUCCUGAACAAGAGGAAUCUUGAGAAGCUGCUGGAGACAGAAGAGCUGUGGAGGUUUGGCGAGUGUCUGCUGGAAGAGGAGAGAGACAGAGCAGAUGGGUACCUGCGCCAGUCCGUGAUGUACCUUCAGAGCCCACAGAAGUCCAUACGAGAGGCAGCCAUCAGGCUCAUUGCCCUUCAAGGCACAACAAAUAACUGUAGCUCCUCCAUCUCAAACAUCGCAACUCAAAUCUUGGACUUUCUAAGAAUUGAAGAGAGAAAUCCUUACUCCAGAUUCAGGCUGCUGCAAAACCAGAUCCAUGAGGAGGCAAGCUUCUCUCUUGGAAAAUGGCUGGCCUUCUCUCUGGGAAAAUGUCUGGGGAUUGAGGAGCAGCCACCUGAAAAGGAUACCAGAUGUUGAAGACCACGGAAGAAGACCCCCGAAGAACCAUAUAAGGACUUCCAAUAAGGGGUGUGAUUAUGUAAAAUAAAGUAAAACAUAUACAUCAAGUAAGCAGGGAUAGCUAACAAAUAUGUAAAUCAGUGUGUAUGAUAAAAACUCUGUUUACCUGACAGGGCAAUUAAUUAGAGGAAGGAUCCUCUGAGUGACUAGUGUGCUGCAAUAAAGAAGGCCUGCUUUCUAAUACUCAAAACUGUUGUGGAAAGUUUCUACCUGGAAAAUUUUGGUAUUGUAUUCGCUAUAAAAUGAGUACUGAUUUCUUUAUGAAGGCUUUUAUUAUUCCUCCUGAAGAAGUCUUUCUUGUUGGAAAGCCUGACAGCUGGUCUUCUACCACCCAGACACGGCUGGCAUGUCCGCAGGGUCUCUUUGCAGAAAUGUCCCUGAAAAGGGAAAUCAGUCCAUGGUCACCCUCCUAACUGUGAGCUCAGUCUGCUACUUGAAAACUCAUUUCAAGUUGGGCAGCCAUUUGUGAUUCUUUUUUGAGGUGGCAUAAAUUCCUGGAGCUGGCCAUGUUUUUUGUACUUGGAUAACUAUUGCCUGUGUCCCUCCAUGGGAUUUAGCAUGAAACCAUCUAGCCACAGUUACUAAAUAUUCUUUGUCAGAAUUGGUAUUCCCCCAAUUGUCCACAUGCCAUCAUCAUUUUAGUAGCCUUUCAUUUUAUGCCAUUAUAUCUCUUCUUCUGUGGAGCAGUCCUUCUCAUACACUGUCUUAGGGUCUAUCAAAUUUGGCAUUUCCUCUGGUCAGCCAU